RNAcentral lists this ribosomal RNA (695 nucleotides) under uncultured Bacilli bacterium. Its description in RNAcentral is "bacterial SSU rRNA". It matches the Rfam family "Bacterial small subunit ribosomal RNA", at positions 62 to 728 of the family's 1533-position model. Lineage: Bacteria; Bacillati; Bacillota; Bacilli. The record is from RNAcentral.
UCGAACGCUUCUUUUUCCACCGGAGCUUGCUCCACCGGAAAAAGAGGAGUGGCGAACGGGUGAGUAACACGUGGGUAACCUGCCCAUCAGAAGGGGAUAACACUUGGAAACAGGUGCUAAUACCGUAUAACAAUCAAAACCGCAUGGUUUUGAUUUGAAAGGCGCUUUCGGGUGUCGCUGAUGGAUGGACCCGCGGUGCAUUAGCUAGUUGGUGAGGUAACGGCUCACCAAGGCCACGAUGCAUAGCCGACCUGAGAGGGUGAUCGGCCACAUUGGGACUGAGACACGGCCCAAACUCCUACGGGAGGCAGCAGUAGGGAAUCUUCGGCAAUGGACGAAAGUCUGACCGAGCAACGCCGCGUGAGUGAAGAAGGUUUUCGGAUCGUAAAACUCUGUUGUUAGAGAAGAACAAGGAUGAGAGUAACUGUUCAUCCCUUGACGGUAUCUAACCAGAAAGCCACGGCUAACUACGUGCCAGCAGCCGCGGUAAUACGUAGGUGGCAAGCGUUGUCCGGAUUUAUUGGGCGUAAAGCGAGCGCAGGCGGUUUCUUAAGUCUGAUGUGAAAGCCCCCGGCUCAACCGGGGAGGGUCAUUGGAAACUGGGAGACUUGAGUGCAGAAGAGGAGAGUGGAAUUCCAUGUGUAGCGGUGAAAUGCGUAGAUAUAUGGAGGAACACCAGUGGCGAAGGCGGCUCU